UAGAAAAACUACAACACCACACCAGAUCUAGCUAGACCGAGAACAUAACGACAGGCACGCUGCACACACGCCGUUUGGGCUUGCGAGCCGGCCAAAGAGUAGUAACCUAACGUUUCUUUUUGA
Etheostoma cragini (Arkansas darter) is the source of this 123-nucleotide long non-coding RNA. RefSeq lists it as uncharacterized. NCBI's taxonomy places the organism in Eukaryota, Metazoa, Chordata, Actinopteri, Perciformes, Percidae. The record is from RefSeq and is a predicted model, not a curated record. The transcript is spliced from 3 exons.